UAUCACAGUCACAGAAACCCUAAGAUAUAUGGGAACUGGAGUUACAGAUGGCUUUCAGCUUCUAUGUAGGUGCUAACAAUCAAACCUGGGAUCCUUUCAAGAGCAGCAAGUGCUUUUAAGCUGAGUCACCUCUACAGCCCCUAAGAAUCUAUUACUGUGUGUCUGUGUGAGUGCAGGUGUGAGUGUCAUUAUAUGUGCAGAGGUCAGAGGACAAUUGUAAGGAAUUGCUACUUUUCACCAUGGGAUCAGAUUCCCAUGGUCAGGUGUGGGCAGCAAGCAAGCACUUUGACCCACUGGGCCAUCUCACCUGACCAAGAGUAACUUUGGUUUUUGUUUAUUGAACUUGAAAAGAGUAAAGUGUUGUUAGUCUGAUGGCUUUAAUGAGGAAAAAAAAGGCAGGGGCCGAAUAAUAGAUUUAGGAACCUUAAACUAAGAUAGGAUUGCUCAGAUAACCAGGCAGGACAGAAUAUACAUAGCAAGAGAGGCUAUGUAAGGAGGUAGUGUGCUGUUAUUGUUGGCCUGAAUAAAAUACCAGUACGGAGAAUCGGGAGAACUUACUAAAUGUCAUUGAGUGGACGCUGGGCAUGUAACUCUGUACAUGUGCUUAGAUAAGAGAGGCCCUGAGUUCAAGUCUUGGCUCAGCAGAAAAACUGUUAAUUUUUUUUUAAAUAAGUGGACAUAUGUUUCAGUGGUAGAGCACUUGCUGCCUAUCAUUAGUGGGGCUCUGAGUUCAGUCCUCAGCUUGGAGUUGGAAGAUAAAUGCUACUCCAGGUGUCACCUGGAGCAACUGUAAUAGACUUAUGCUUGUAAUCCCAGUUCUUCUCAGGCUGGGCCAGGCAACUCUCCCACUAAUGUGAAGCCCUCCUGGACUACAGAAUAAAGAUCCUGUCUCAAGAAAAGGGGAAGAAGAUGAUAACUGUUGUGAUUUAAGUGAGAAAUGUGUCCUCAGUUGUAGUGCUACCCAGGGAGUUACUGCUGGUCCUGGUAUAAUAUUACAUAACAGAAAAGUAAUAGCAGUUAUUUUAGGGAGAUAUAGCCUUAAUAAAAGAAGUAGGUCAGUAUGGUUGGGCUUUGGUGAUUUUUAGUCCUGCUUCCUGUCUCUGCUUCCUGUGUGCAGCUGAGGGAGAAUUUCUCGCUUUCCUGUUGUGGCCACCUGAUACUCUGUCACUCUUGCCAUUAUGGACUCUAACCCUCUGAAACAACUCAAAUAACCUUGAAGUUGCUCUUUUUAUGUUUUAAGAUAUAUUUUAUGUAUAUGAAAGUUUUACCUGCAUAUAUGUAUGUGCAUUUUAUGUAUGCCUCUGGAGACCAGAAGAGGGGGUGGGAUCUCUUGGAACUGGACUUACAUAUGGUUGUGAGCUGCCAUCUGAGUACUGGGAACUGAACUCAGGUCCUCUGAAAGAGCAGCUAGUGCUCUUAACCUCUGAGCCAUCUUUCCAGUGCCUAUAAAUUGUUCUUAGUCAUGGUGUUUUAUCUUAUCAUACAACAGAAAGUAAUUUGCCACUUUUCUUGGAUAAUGAUGACUCUUCCUUUUCCUCCUCCUCUUCUUCUUCCUCCUUCUCCUCCCUUUCUUUUUCUUGUUCUUGAUUUUGAGACAGGGCCUUAUUCUGUAGCCCAAACUGCCUCAAAGUACCAAGUGCUAAAAUUAUAGGCAUGGGCCACUCUGCCUGCUUUAGCAUUGAUGACUCAAAUUUUUCUUCAGUUAUUGAGUCUAAUAAAAGGGGCAAAAUAAAGGCUGGAGAGAUGGUUCAGUAGUUAAGAGAUUUGUUCUGAAUACAUAGGACUUUUGUUCAAAUCUUUAGCACUCAUAUAAAAAUCUGAGCGUGGUAAUGCAUGCUGUUAAUCCCAGUACUCGAAAGGCAGAGGCAGGAAGAUCUCUUAUGAGUUCCAGCCUGGUCCACAUAGCAAGUUUUAGGGCAGCUAAGACUUCACAACAAAAUAGUAGGACCUUAAGGGUCUUAGAGAGGGAAAAUGAUUUUUUUCGACAUGGCUGCAAGUACUUGUAAUCCCAGCAUUUUGGGAGCAGAAGACAAGUGUAUCCUUGAAAGUUGCUGCCCUGCUAGCUUAGCCAAAAAAUGGUGAGCUGCUAGUUCACUGAGAGACCCUCUCAAGAGGGAGACACCUAGUUCUUGCUUGCUCUAUCUUAUGCGUGUGCACACAUGGGUGAAUAUACCCACACUAUGGCACAUACGUACAAAUAAAAUGAAAAGUAGUAAUUUUAAAAAUAAUGUGUGGCACUAUGCCUACAUUAAAAACUAAAAACCAUUUGUAGCUUGCAGAUCCUGAAGUUUGUACAAUCUGGUACUUCACAGAAGUUUGCUUUCUUCUGGAAACCCUUCAGUAGAGUUUCUGUUUCUUUGGGGGGGGGGUGUUUACAGAGCAUAUGAGUCUCUGGGACUGGUCUACUAAGCCUAUCUUAAAAUCUUAGGAGGGCUAGUAUUCAUAGCCUCUUUUUUUUUUUUUUAAUCACAUCUAAAUUCUUUGCCUUUUCAAUUUCUGUGACUAGAUACUUGACAAGAGACAAAGGAAGUUUAUUUUAGCUUACAACUUAAGAAGAGAAGAAAUCCAGUCAUCAUGGCUGAGAAGGCAUGGUAACAGCAUCUAUAAGCAGAUAGAACAUCACAUAGCUUCACCAAUCAGAGAACAGAGAGUAGACAGGUAGUGGGGCCAGGCCACCAACCUUCAAGAUGUGCUUCUAGUAACUCUCUUCCUUCUGUGGGGCUUCCCCUGACAGUUCCAAAACAGUGCCAUCGCCUAGGGACCAAGUGUUAAAAUGCAUGAGUCUAUGGGGGACAUUUUACAUUGAAAACACUUGUUCUGUCUUUUCAACGUUUACCUUUUCCUUAGACUGUCCUGGGUUUUAUCAACUCCUGCCCUGACACACAGUAGUUAUGCUUAGUUUUAUUCCAUCUCUAUCUCUAAACUAUGGUCUUUCAAAAACAGUUAGUUUUAUUCAUAAUUUUGGUCUCAUAAAUACUUAAUACGUAAUGGGGUUAGUGGCUGUCUGGUUCAUGGACUUUAUUAACUUGAGUUCAUGGUCAGGUUGUAAUGGUGCCCUCUUGAUCUGUCUUGUUUGUUAGGAGCUAUGUUGUUCGUCCUUUUGUGUUUGUUUUUGAGACAGGAUCUCUAUGUAGUCUUGGCUAUCCUGGAAUUCAAUAUGUAGAUCAGACUGGCCUUCAGCUCACAGAGACCUGCCUGCCUCUACCUCCCAUGCAUGCCCAGCUGUUUAACCGUCUAAAACCAUACAAAUGCUAAAAUAAACAUCCUUGGGUAAGAGUUGAAAUAGAGUUUACUGUGCUGUCUAGUUAGCUCUGUCUAUGUGAUACACACCAAACUUGGAAUAGGAACAGGGAUAUGCUUUUAAGGUGUAUGUGAACAACACACAAAAGAGUUUACCUAACAGGAAUCCUUGUGAAUGUCUCAAAUGCAUUGGCAUAAACUCUUUACCUAAAAGAUACAGUUUGUCCUUGAGGCUAAUUAACUUAACAUGUUCUGGUUGUGCAUCUACCUACCCUAUGUAUUUGCUUUUCUUGUCUGUAAAAUGGAGAUAUCAGAAUCUGUGCCUCUGGAUUAUUUAGUGAUUAAAUAGCAUCACCAAGAGACCCCAAACCACAAGCUUGGUGGUAUAUCCCUGUAGUUCCAGCAUUUAGAAAAUGGAAGCAGAAGAAUUGUAAGCUAAAGGCCAACCUAGGCUAUACAUAGUGAAAUCAUUUUCAAAACGAUUUGGGGUUGGAGAGAUGUCGCAGCUUUUUAGAGUACUUUGUUGCUUGUCACCUUUUGGGUUUUUCUAUGUAUGCCCUAGUUCCUGAAUAAUGACACAAAGGCUUUUAUAUUUUAUUAAUAAAGGCCUAGGUCUUAAGCUAAGCUUGUUCUUCAACUAGCUCUUAACUUAUAUUAACCCAUUUAUACUAUUCUGUGUCUGCCACAUGGCUGUUGCCGCUCCUCAGUUUCAUGCACCUACUUCUUCUGUGUGACAAAGCUCCAACACCUGACUCUUUCCCAGACCAUCCACUUUCUGGCUUUGCUGUAGGCCAUUAGCUCUUCAAUAAACCAAUCAGAAGGCACCUUAAGCAGGCAAGGAAGGACAGAUACACAUCUUCAUACAGUGUACAAAACAUUCCUCCAGCAGUUGCUCUUGCAGAGGAUCUGUCCAGUUCUCAGCACCUACACAGCGGCUCACAGUCAUCCACAACUCAAAUGCUUAGGGAUCCGACGUUGGCCCUCUGAAGAUGCCAGACAUUUAUUAAAGGGUACUUACAUACAUGCAGGGAAAAUAUCCAUACAUAUAAAAUAAAAUAAAUCUUUAAAAAAUAAAAAUAGAAAGGUUGGGCCUUCAGAGAUGGUUUCUCUGCUAAAAGCGCCUACUGUUCUUUCAGAUGACUCGAGUUUGGUUUCCAGCACACAUGUGAGGCAGUUCACAACUUACUUAAGCCCCAGGGCAUCUAAAAUUCUCUCCAGACACCUGCAUUCAUAUGCACAUACCCAUGCACUUGUGCACAUGAUUAAACAUACAAGCAAACCUUUAAAAUAAACACAAAGCGUGUUAAAGUGCUUUCUAUAAAUAGAUAUUAACUCUUUCAGUGCUGCCACUCUUGUCUCCAGGUGGACUGGUAUAAGCCACUUGCUCAUAGGUUUUUGUUUUGUUUUGUAUUUUAGUUUUCAAUUUAAGUAGUUACUUGUAUUACUAAUAAAAUGUAAUUUUAUUACUAAUAAAGAUGUAAGUUUGCCAAUUAUGAAAGAUGCCUUUUGAGAAACAAUUGUGCCCUUCACAAUGUAAUAGAUUGUACUACAAGGGCCAUAAAACAAUUCAGUUCUUUAAUUUAGAACAUUUACAUAAAGUGUAAUGUUGGGGAAAAUAUGCAUAAUGAGAGAGUGUAUAAUGUGCUCAAGAUCACAAAUUCAGUUCCCAACACC
Molecule: long non-coding RNA, 4914 nt
Filed under: Mus musculus (house mouse)
Lineage: Eukaryota; Metazoa; Chordata; Mammalia; Rodentia; Muridae
Description: long non-coding RNA chr16:17460670-17465584
Source: RNAcentral